RNAcentral lists this long non-coding RNA (1435 nucleotides) under Homo sapiens (human). RNAcentral describes it as "non-protein coding lnc-POFUT2-6:2". The record is from RNAcentral. Lineage: Eukaryota; Metazoa; Chordata; Mammalia; Primates; Hominidae.
CUUCUCUGUCUCUGUGGAAAAGCCAUCUCAGGUUGGCGGCAGACACAUUGUCAUCAGAGGGGAGCAGCGGCUCUGGUCCUCGGAGCUGGUUCCUCUCUCCCACCCUAAGGGCAGCCCUCCAUGGUCCUGUCUGUCCUUCUGAAGUGUGUCCAUCCUGACCUGCGGGUCCUCAGCUGCUCCCACACUUGUGCCAGCCCGGAGGGGACUGGUCCCGGUCACCGCGGACGUGCUGGCCUUGAACGAAUGACUCGGGUUGAUGUUGCCGGAUCUCAGGGGUGGCUGUGACUGACAGAGGACCUUGUUGCACCUCGUGGCUGCUUUGUUCACCCGCAGGGCGGCCUGUGGGCACCCCGGGGUUCCCCUUCAGUCCCAAGGAGGGUAAGGAUAUGGGUUUCCUAGGAGACAGCCAAUGACUGCCCUGCAUCUGGAGCCAGCCUGUCCAUGGGCAGUGCACAGAUGACAGCCCUCCCUCACUGCCCUGUGUGCUGGCUACCGCAUGUCCUGUGCCAGCCUCAGCCUCUUUGAUGUGGCCGUGUUCCAUCCUGGCGCUCAGCUGGACAAGUGCUGGCUGAGCCACGUCCCAGCCAGGGGCAUGAGAUGGGGGCCCUGGAUGGGAGGCUGCCAGACCCCAACUCAUGGGUCCCUUGAAUCUCCCAGCUUGGACUCGGCCAGGGUGGAGCUGUCUGCUUUGGAUGUAUCAUCUCAUGGCUCAUUUGGGAGGCCAGCCCCAGGCUGCUGUGCUUGGUGUUGGAGGACAGGCCGGAGCUGGGGGUCACAGUGCGCCUCUGAGCUUGGGAACCUGCUUCAGCCUGGGGUUGCUGUGGAGAAUGGCCCAGAGCUGAGCAGAAGGGGCUCCCCCUAGCCCCAGGGACCUGAGCCUCCCUCCCAUCUACCGCAGGGCGAGCACACACCCUGGAGGAGCCCAGAUGGCCUUGUGCUGAGUGUGGCCUCAGCUCCCAUUGCCUCACGGGGCCUGUCUGCUAACAGGUCUGGGUUUUGUGCACAGAACGGUGCUGCUAGGUGGGAGAUGAAGUCAGCACCUGCUGGGGCGAGCACGGCUUCCCAAAGCAGGAAAUCCUGGAGAAAUCGAGCCGUGGUCUGAUCAGGCCAAGAGGUUGCACAGGGCAUGAUACUGCACCCUGCCUGACCCAGCUGGGCUCACAGGUCAGGGGAGAGUUGGGGCAGGUGAAUGUCAGCAUCAGGCUUCUGUUUUAAACUUUUAAAAAAAUACACUCUUUGGCUUCCUUUUAUUUCUUGAGGAUUACAUGAAACGUGAACUAUACAGGAAAGUAUGGCAGCCAGGUCCUGGGGCCAGGGGCUGGCCGGCCGCUCCCUGCCCACGGUGGGGGCUUCCUCCGAGCCGCCGGUCCUCUCCGGCCAUCCGCAUCCAGGCGGUGGCUACUUGGAGGCAGUCAUGAAGCUGUUCUCAAUGCAG